ACGGUUACAGGCAUCGCUAUCAGUUUGUCGCCCCCUCCGCCUAUAAAAGAGGAGACCCCAGAUACGUUAUUCUCUAAGCUCUCAUUUUUAUCUAAAAACUCUGCUAAAAUUUUCGUUCGAGCACUCCAUUCCUGUUGAGGCAGAGAACUGACUUGAGCGUCGGAGGGUCUUGUUGGAGCAACCCCACCUCCGAUUUAGACUUCUUUUGCAGGUUCCUGCGGCGACCGCGACUCCAGCUUCUCCGGCGCAAGCAGAUUUUUGCACCAAC
RNAcentral lists this long non-coding RNA (268 nucleotides) under Elaeis guineensis (African oil palm). RNAcentral's name for it is "long non-coding RNA (EGUI_LNC072699)". Lineage: Eukaryota; Viridiplantae; Streptophyta; Magnoliopsida; Arecales; Arecaceae. The record is from RNAcentral.